Arachis ipaensis is the source of this 949-nucleotide non-coding RNA. NCBI's taxonomy places the organism in Eukaryota, Viridiplantae, Streptophyta, Magnoliopsida, Fabales, Fabaceae. The record is from RefSeq and is a predicted model, not a curated record.
UUCAGAGAAAGAGAUUUAGAGAGAUCUUAAGCUCACCGCAGAAGCCCGCCGUAACCGGCGCUGCCACCCUCGCCACCGCAGUUCAGAUCGAGCCAAGGCGCGUCCUCCACCAACGUAUCUCCAGAUCUGGUAGCAAUGCAUCUCCAGAUCUGGUAGCAACGCCUUCUUCGCAAACGAGGAUUUUGGUGUUGUUAUCGCCGUCGCUCAGCUUGCUCUCCAUGGCCGCCAUGUGAAGUAGGCUCUGACGAGACAACACCAGUAGCAUCACGCACGUCUUCCUCCUCCGGUAGCAGCGGCGAUGACAUUGGUUUCAACACUCUCCUUUCUUCGAUUAAUGUUUGUUUCACCAGCCCUGCUUAAUUAAUUACAUUUUCGGUUACUUGGACUCCAAGAAUGGAGAUACCAAAGAUAUUUCUCAAAGUGAAAAGUCUAUUCUGGAAAAGGAUCUUGAAGCAGCUCUUGACUCAUUUGACAAUCUUUUUUGCCGACGCUGUUUUGUAAGCCUUUUAUCCCAUGGGGGGUACUGAAUAGCCUUCAUUUUCUUUUGAUCUUUAUAUCUCGCCAGCAGACCUAAUGUCAAUUUUCACCUUUUCAGGUUUUCGAUUGCCGAUUACAUGGAUGUUCCCAGGAUCUUGUCUUCCCCGUACUUAAAUCAGGAAGGUUUUUCAAUGCUACCUCUUCGGCCUAGGCUGAUGUUGAAGAGAAAUGUUCAGGUGGUUCUUUAUCUAGGAAGAAGUCUUCUGCUAAAAGGAGAAUAAAAUGCAGCCAAAGUAAAAGUGCCUUGGAAAGCUCUUGAAAAGAACUGCUAGAGAAAGUAAUGGAGAUAUUUGGGAGAAACAGGUCAGCAUAUGCUUGGGUCAAAUGUAUUACCUGUGCUUUCUCUGAUGCUUACUUUCAUGCGUUGGACCCCUAAUCUUCAUCUUCGAUUUGUCAUGCUGUUCAAAGACUU